CCUACGGGGGGCAGCAGUGGGGAAUAUUGGACAAUGGGGGGAACCCUGAUCCAGCGACGCCGCGUGAGUGAAGAAGUAUUUCGGUAUGUAAAGCUCUAUCAGCAGGGAAGAAAGAAAUGACGGUACCUGACUAAGAAGCCCCGGCUAACUACGUGCCAGCAGCCGCGGUAAUACGUAGGGGGCAAGCGUUAUCCGGAUGUACUGGGUGUAAAGGGGGCGUAGACGGCGAUGCAAGUCUGAAGUGAAAGGCGGGGGCCCAACCCCCGGACUGCUUGUGAAACUGUAUGGCUGGAGUGCAGGAGAGGUAAGUGGAAUUCCUAGUGUAGCGGUGAAAUGCGUAGAUAUUAGGAGGAACACCAGUGGCGAAGGCGGCUUACUGGACUGUAACUGACGUUGAGGCUCGAAAGCGUGGGGAGCAAACAGGAUUAGAUACCCGGGUAGUC
This 443-nucleotide ribosomal RNA is filed under the name uncultured bacterium. Its description in RNAcentral is "partial 16S ribosomal RNA". It matches the Rfam family "Bacterial small subunit ribosomal RNA", at positions 338 to 795 of the family's 1533-position model. The record is from RNAcentral.